Xyrauchen texanus (razorback sucker) is the source of this 4291-nucleotide RNA transcript. It is a transcript of the gene named sodium/potassium-transporting ATPase subunit alpha-1, with no coding region annotated. The record is from RefSeq and is a predicted model, not a curated record. The transcript is spliced from 23 exons. Lineage: Eukaryota; Metazoa; Chordata; Actinopteri; Cypriniformes; Catostomidae.
UUGAACCUUCAUUGAAACGCGUCUUGGAUGGGUGUCCCGGUAAAAAUACACAUCCAUCAGUAACCAAGGAAAAAUAUCAGAAGAGAAAGGAAACGGGAUUUGGGGACUUUUAAUGUGUUCAUUUUAAGAAAACUUGGAUUUUUGGGAACCCAGGUGGUCGUGUUUUAAUCAAAAAAAAAAAAAAAAGCAAAAUGGGACGAGGAACCAUCCACAGGAGAUUUAAUGCCCCCCCCUCUUCAACACAGGAAGGUCGAGAACAAUAUGAGCUGGCGGCCACAUCAGAGCAGGGGGGCAAGAAAUCAAAGCCCAAGGGCAAAAAAGAAAAGGAUAAAGAUAUGGAUGAACUCAAAAAAGAAGUGGACUUGGAUGAUCACAGGCUGUCACUGGAUGAGCUCACUAGGAAAUACAGCACUGAAUUAUCCAGGGGAUUGUCAGUUGCUCGGGCAAAGGAAAUUUUGGCACGUGAUGGACCCAAUGCAUUGACUCCACCUCCAACAACCCCAGAAUGGGUUAAGUUUUGCAAACAACUCUUUGGAGGAUUCUCAACUCUCCUGUGGAUUGGAGCUAUCCUUUGUUUUCUUGCAUAUGGAAUCCAGGCAGCCUCAGAGGAGGAACCUGCCAAUGACAACUUGUAUCUGGGAAUAGUGCUUUCUGCUGUCGUGAUGAUUACUGGAUGUUUCUCAUACUAUCAAGAGGCCAAGAGCUCAAAGAUCAUGGACUCUUUUAAGAACCUUGUCCCUCAGCAAGCCUUGGUUAUCCGUGAUGGUGAGAAGAACAAUAUCAAUGCUGAGGAAGUGGUUGUUGGUGAUCUUGUGGAAGUAAAGGGUGGUGACAGAAUUCCUGCUGAUCUGCGUAUCAUUUCAGCUCAUGGAUGCAAGGUCGACAACUCUUCCCUUACUGGUGAAUCUGAGCCCCAGACUCGUACUCCUGACUUCUCCAAUGACAACCCUCUGGAGACCAGAAACAUUGCAUUCUUCUCUACCAACUGUGUUGAAGGUACUGCCAGAGGUAUCGUCAUCAACACUGGUGACCGUACUGUCAUGGGUCGUAUCGCCACCCUUGCCUCUGGUCUUGAAGUUGGUCGCACUCCCAUCUCCAUUGAGAUUGAGCAUUUCAUCCACAUCAUCACUGGUGUAGCUGUCUUCCUGGGCGUUUCCUUCUUUGUCCUGUCCUUGAUCCUUGGCUACUCUUGGCUGGAAGCAGUCAUCUUCCUGAUUGGUAUCAUUGUUGCCAAUGUGCCAGAAGGUCUCUUGGCUACUGUAACUGUGUGUCUGACUCUGACUGCCAAACGUAUGGCGAAGAAGAACUGCCUUGUAAAGAAUCUCGAAGCGGUUGAGACUCUUGGCUCAACCUCUACCAUCUGCUCUGACAAGACUGGAACUUUGACCCAGAACCGAAUGACUGUGGCUCACAUGUGGUUUGACAACCAGAUUCAUGAAGCAGACACCACAGAGAACCAGAGUGGAACCUCCUUUGAUAGGAGCUCAUCUACAUGGGCCGCCCUUGCACGUGUCGCUGGCCUGUGCAACCGUGCUGUCUUCCUUGCUGAGCAAGAAAACAUCCCAAUUCUUAAGAGAGAUGUGGCUGGUGAUGCCUCAGAAUCUGCACUCCUAAAGUGUAUUGAGCUCUGCUGUGGUUCAGUGAAGGAGAUGAGAGAGAAGUACUACAAGAUUGCUGAGAUCCCUUUCAAUUCCACCAACAAAUACCAGCUUUCCGUCCACAAGAACCUCAAUUCAUCUGAAACCAAACACCUGCUGGUAAUGAAAGGAGCUCCUGAGAGAAUCCUGGACAGAUGCUCCUCUAUUUUGAUCCAUGGAAAAGAGCUGCCCCUUGAUGAUGAGAUGAAGGAUGCCUUCCAGAAUGCCUACUUGGAACUUGGUGGCCUGGGAGAAAGAGUACUGGGAUUCUGCCACUUUAACCUUCCUGAUGAACAGUUUCCUGAGGACUUCCAGUUUGAUACAGAGGAGGUUAACUUCCCGACUGAGAACCUGUGUUUCAUUGGCCUUAUGUCCAUGAUUGACCCCCCUCGUGCUGCUGUCCCAGAUGCCGUAGGCAAGUGUAGGAGUGCUGGAAUCAAGGUUAUCAUGGUUACAGGUGAUCAUCCAAUCACAGCCAAGGCCAUUGCUAAGGGAGUGGGUAUCAUAUCUGAGGGCAAUGAAACUGUUGAAGACAUUGCUGCUCGCUUGAACAUUCCUAUUAACGAAGUCAACCCAAGGGAUGCCAAGGCUUGUGUGAUCCAUGGUGGAGAUCUGAAGGACCUGACCGCUGAACAGUUAGAUGAUGUCUUGAAAUACCACACAGAAAUAGUGUUUGCCAGAACUUCUCCUCAGCAAAAGCUGAUUAUCGUUGAAGGCUGCCAGAGACAGGGUGCCAUUGUAGCUGUAACUGGUGAUGGCGUGAAUGAUUCUCCUGCUCUGAAGAAGGCUGACAUUGGUGUGGCUAUGGGAAUUGCUGGAUCUGAUGUAUCCAAACAGGCUGCUGACAUGAUCCUUUUGGAUGACAACUUUGCUUCAAUUGUCACUGGAGUAGAAGAAGGUCGUCUGAUCUUUGACAACUUAAAGAAGUCCAUUGCUUACACCUUGACCAGUAAUAUCCCGGAGAUCACCCCCUUUCUCCUCUUCAUCUGUGCCAACAUUCCUCUUCCAUUGGGUACCGUCACAAUCCUCUGUAUCGAUCUGGGAACUGACAUGGUUCCUGCUAUCUCCUUGGCCUAUGAAGCUGCUGAGAGCGACAUCAUGAAGCGUCAACCCAGAAACCCCAAGACGGACAAACUUGUGAAUGAGAGGCUCAUUAGCAUAGCCUACGGUCAGAUCGGUAUGAUUCAAGCUCUGGCUGGGUUCUUUACAUAUUUUGUCAUCCUGGCUGAAAAUGGCUUCCUGCCAUCAACAUUGCUGGGUAUUCGUGUUUUAUGGGAUGACAAACAUGUUAAUGACCUGGAAGACAGUUAUGGCCAACAGUGGACAUAUGAGCAGAGGAAGAUUGUGGAGUUCACGUGCCACACAGCUUUCUUCACCAGUAUUGUAAUUGUACAGUGGGCUGACUUGAUCAUCUGCAAGACCAGAAGGAACUCUGUCUUCCAGCAAGGAAUGAAGAAUAAGAUUCUCAUCUUUGGACUGUUUGAAGAAACUGCUCUUGCAGCCUUCCUGUCCUACUGCCCAGGAAUGGAUGUUGCCCUUAGAAUGUACCCACUAAAUUUAGGUUUCGUUCAUUAAAAACGUUCUUCAUCGCAUCAUGCAACAAAUUACACCAAACUGGUGGUUCUGCGCCUUCCCCUAUUCACUCCUCAUCUUUAUUUAUGAUGAAAUCCGAAAACUUAUCAUCCGACGCAGCCCAGGAGGUUGGGUGGAGAGGGAGACCUACUAUUAAAGCAUCCAGUCUGCAUCACACAAAGUUUAUUUGCAUGGUUGUCUUGCUGCUCAGAAUUUGAACCUCAGUAAUUUGGAUGUGUUUUAUAUAGGGAAUGCUUGAUAAAAACACUGAGAUCAUGAACCAAGACAUUGCAUGCCUUGUUUUUGAAGCUGGACCAAUUUUAUACAUGUUUUUAAAAGUGUAAUAUAAAAAUAAACUUGCAGCCAGGUCCCAUGUUUUGUGUCAUUUCCAUCUUUUAAAUGUUUAAUUAUGUUUACCUCUCUGUUUGUUCUUUUUAAUUUGGCAAGUGCAUGACACAAAUGCCAAUGUUUUUGUUGCUUGGCACUCUAGGUGCUUUACUUAUGUUUCCAUUGUGACCAUAGUUUACAUCUAAAUACCAUAGUAACUACAUAGAAUAUUACUGUAAAAUAAUACAUUUAUGACAUUUUCACAAUGCCAUCUAAGAAGCUUUUAGAAUCUUUCUGUCCUUUGAAUGAAAGUGGUUGGCUAAUAUGACCAAUAAACAUUAACUGUGGUAUUUCUGUGAAAACUAUGGUUACUAUUACAAUUUGUAUUUUUUAUUUGGAUAAAUAUUGCUUGAAAACAAGUUCCUGUAAGCAAGCCAAAUAAGAAAUCCUGGCUAGUUCUCUGCCAAUCUCCUUUCCAUUUUAACAGCUUUGACUAUUAAAAAGUAAAACACAAUUGAAUAACUUUACAGUACAAUAUCCUCCCCAGUGAGAGUGGGCACAUUUUAAGUGGGUUUGAAAUGUCUAAACCAGAUCCCAUGUCUGGAUGAGACCAGAGCACCACUUCCCUAAAUCUGCUUUGCAUGGUUUUGGCCAAAGCAUCCUGAGUCACAAUCAACAAAGUGGGCAGUGAAUGCAAUAAUAUAUAUAGAGAUUAACCUUUGUUUUUUGUUUUUUCUUUCCCAAUUCAUAAGUGU